ACUAGCACUUACGUACUAGGCUGUUAUAUACCGUACCUUUGGCACU
Molecule: small RNA, 46 nt
Filed under: Lentisphaera araneosa HTCC2155
Lineage: Bacteria; Pseudomonadati; Lentisphaerota; Lentisphaeria; Lentisphaerales; Lentisphaeraceae
Description: Acido-Lenti-1 RNA
Rfam family: Acido-Lenti-1 RNA
Source: Rfam by way of RNAcentral